UUGAGGUUUGUACGAAGUUCGUUCUGAAAUGGGGUGGUUGGUGUAUUGUAUUGUUCUAGAGAUUGGAUUUAACUCAAAACCCACCAAAUGACUCCUCCCACAAUAUGAUGAUGUUCCCCAAGUUUUGGACUCAAUUCGAUAUCGAUCGGUCCACGAAAUUUGACAAUUCAGGUUCGUACGAAGUUCGUUCUGAAAUGGGGUGGUUGGGGUAUUGUAUAGUUCUAGAGACUGAAUUUCACUCAAAACCCACCCAAUGACUCCUCCCACAGUAUUAUGAUGUUCCCCUUGUUUUGGACUCAAUCCGAUAUCGAUUGGUCCUUGAAAUCGGACAAUUCAGGUUCCUACGAAGUUCGUUCUGAAACGGGGUGGUUGGUGUAUUGUAUAGUUCUAAAGAUUGGAUUUCUCUCAAAACCCACCAAAUGACUCCUCCCACAAUAUUAUGAUGUUCCCCAAGUUUUGGACUCAAUCCGAUAUCGAUUGGUCCUUUAAAUCGAACAAUUCAGGUUCGCACGAAGUUCGUUCUGAAAUGGGGUGGUUGGUGUAUUGUAUAGUUCUAGGGAUUGUAUUUCACUCAAAACUUACCAAAUGACUCCUCCCACAAUAUUAUGAUGUUCCCCAAGUUUUGGAGUCAAUCCGAUAUCGAUUGGUCCUUGAAAUCGGACAAUUCAGUUUCCUACGAAGUUCGUUCUGAUAUGGGGUGGUUGGUGUAUUGUAUAGUUCUAGAGAUUCGAUUUCACUCAAAACCCACCAAAUGACUCCUCCCACAAUAUUAUGAUGUUCCCCAAGUUUUGGACUCAAUCCGAUAUCGAUCGGUCCACGAAAUUUGACAAUUCAGGUUCGUACGAAGUUCGUUCUGAAAUAGAGUGGUUGGUGUAUUGCAUACUUCUAGGGAUUGUAUUUCACUCAAAACCCACCAAAUGACUCCUCCCACAAUAUUAUGAUGUUCCCCAAGUUUUGGACUCCAUCCGAUAUCGAUUGGUCCUUGAAACCGGACAAUUCAGGUUCGCACGAAGUUCGUUCUGAAAUGGCGUGGUCGGUGUAUUGUAUAGUUCUAGAGAUUGGAUUUCACUCAAAACCCGCCAACUGACUCGUCCCACAACAUUAUGAUGUUCUCCAAGUUUUGGACUCAAUCCGAUAUCGAUUGGUCCUUGAAAUCGGACAAUUCAGGUUCGUACGAAGUUCGCUCUUAAUGGGGUGGUUGGUGUAUUGUAUAGUUCUAGAAAUUGGAUUUCAAUCAAAACCCACCAAAUGACUCCUCCCACAAUAUUACGAUGUUCCCCAAGUUUUGGACUCAAUCCGAUAUCGAUUGGUCCUUGAAAUCGGACAAUUCUGGUUCCUUCGAAGUUCGUUCUUAAAUGGGGUGGUCGGUGUAUUGUAUAGUUCUAGCGAUUGGAUUUCACUCAAAACCCACCAAAUGACUCCUCUCACAAUAUUAUGAUGUUCCCCAAGUUUUGGACUCAAUCCGAUAUCGAAUGGUCCUUGAAAUUGGACAAUUCAAGUUCCUACAAAGUUCGUUCUGAAAUGGGGUGGUUCUUGUAUUGUGUAGUUCUAGAGAUUGGAUUUCACUCAAAACCCACCAAAUGACUCCUCCCACAAUAUUAUGAUGUUCCCCAAGUUUUGGACUCAAUCCGAUAUCGAUUGGUCCUUGAAAUCGGACAAUUCAGGUUCCUACGAAGUUCGUUCUGAAAUGGGGUGGUUCGUGUAUUGUAUAGUUCUAGAGAUUGGAUUUCACUCAAAACCCACCAAAUGACUCCUGCCAAAACAUUAUGAUGUUCCCCAAGUUUUGGACUCAAUCCGAUAUCGAUUGGUGCUUGAAAUCGGACAAUUCAGGUUCGUACGAAGUUCGUUCUGAAAUGGGGUGGUUGGUGUAUUGUAUAGUUCUAGAGAUUGGAUUUCACUCAAAACAAACCAAAUGACUCCUCCCACAAUAUUAUGAUAUUCCCCAAGUUUUGGACUCAAUCCGAUAUCGAUUGGUCCUUGAAAUCGGACAAUACAGGUUUGUACGAAGUUCGUUAUGAAAUGGGGUGGUUGGUGUAUUGUAUAGUUCUCGAGAUUGGAUUUCACUGAAAACCCACCAAAUGACUCCUCCCGCAAUAUGAUGAUGUUCCCCAAGUUUUGGACUCAAUCCGAUAUCAAUCGAUCCACGAAAUUUGACAAUUCAGGUUCGUACGAAGUUCGUUCUGAAAUGGGGUGGUUGGUGUAUUGUAUAGUUCUAGAGAUUGGAUUUCACAAAAACUCACCAAUUGCCUCCUCCCACAAUAUGAUGAUGUUCCCCAAGUUUUGGACUCAAUCCGAUAUCGAUCGGUCCACGAAAUUUGACAAUUCAAGUUCGUACGAAGUUCGUUCUGAAAUGGGGUGGUUGGUGUAUUGUAUAGUUCUAGAGAUUGGAUUUCCCUCAAACCCACCAAAUGACUCCUCCCACAAUUUAUGAUGUUCCCCAAGUUUUGGACUCAAUCCGAUAUCGAUUGGUCCUUGAACUCGGACAAUUCAGGUUCGUACGAAGUUCGUUCUGAAAUUGGGUGUUGGUGUAUUGUAUAUUUCUAGAGAUUGGAUUUCACUAAAAACCCCCCAAAUGACUCCUCCCACAAUAUUAUGAUGUUCCCCAAGUUUUGGACUCAAUCUGAUUUCGAUUGGUCCUUCAAAUCGAACAAUUCAGGUUCGUACGAAGUUCGUUCUGAAAUGGGGUGGUUGGUGUAUUGUAUAGUUCUAGAGAUUGGAUUUCACUCAAAACCCACCAAAUGACUCUUCCCACAAUAUUAUGAUGUUCCCCAAGUUUUGGACUCAAUCCGAUAUCGAUUGGUCCUUGAAAUCGGACAAUUCAGGUUCGUACGAAGUUCGUUCUGAAAUUGGGUGGUUGGUGUAUUGUAUAUUUCUAGAGAUUGGAUUUCACUAAAAACCCACCAAAUGACUCCUCCCACAAUAUUAUGAUGUUCCCCAAGUUUUGGACUCAAUCUGAUAUCGAUUGGUCCUUCAAAUCGAACAAUUCAGGUUCGUACGAAGUUCGUUCUGAAAUGGGGUGGUUGGUGUAUUGUAGAGUUCUAGAGAUUGGAUUUCAUUCAAAACCCGCCAAAUGACUCCUCCCACAAUAUUAUGAUAUUCCCCAAGUUUUGGACUCAAUCCGAUAUCGAUUGGUCCUUGAAAUCGGACAAUUUAGGUUCGUACGAAGUUCGUUCUGAAAUGGGGUGGUUGGUGUAUUGUAUAGUUCUAGGGAUUGUAUUUCACUCAAAACUUUCCAAAUGACUCCUCCCACAAUAUGAUGAUGUUCCCCAAGUUUUGGACUCAAUCUGAUAUCUAUCGGUCCACGAAAUUUGACAAUUCAGGUUCGUACGAAGUUCGUUCUGAAAUGGGGUGGUUGGUGUAUUGUAUAGUUCUAGGGAUUGUAUUUCGCUCAAAACAUUCCGAAUGACUCCUCCCACAAUAUUAUGAUGUUCCCCAAGUUUUGGACUCAAUCCGAUAUCGAUUGGUCCUUGAAAUCGGACAAUUCUGGUUCGUACGAAGUUCAUUCUGAAAUGGGGAGGUUGGUGUAUUGUAUAGUUCUAGAGAUUGGAUUUCACUCAAAACCCCCCAAAUGACUCCUCCCACAAUAUUAUGAUGUUCCCCAAGUUAUGGACUCAAUCCGAUAUCGAUUGGUCCUUGAAAUCUGAUAAUUCAGGUUCGUACGAAGUUCGUUCUGAAAUGGGGUGGUUGGUGUAUUGUGUAGUUCUAGAGAUUGGAUUUCACUCAAAACAAACCAGAUGACUCCUCCCACAAUAUUAUGAUGUUCCCCAAGUUUGGGACUCAAUCCGAUAUCGAUUGGUCCUUGAAAAUCCGACAAUUCAGGUUCAUACGAAGUUCGUUCUGAAAUGGGGUGGUUUUUGUAUUGUAUAGUUCUAGAGAUUGGAUUUCACUCAAAACCCACCAAAUGACUCCUCCCACAAUAUUAUGAUGUUCCCCAAGUUUUGGACUCAAUCCGACAUCGAUUGGAUCAAAUACCCCCAGACCUAGAUUUUGCUAGUCCUCGAGCAAAACAAAAGAGAAUAAAGUUGAAAACAAAACAAGAAGUUAACUAAACCACUUCUGUAGGUAACUCGAUUGCAAUGUGCAUAUGCAACAAGCCUUUAAACCUCUGGGCAUCCCUAAUCGGAAGAGUUGUGUCUCCUGAGGGUUUAACAGAAACGAUACCCACAAACGCUUUACUGACUCUCUAACACCAAAAGGUUAGAAAACUAACUUUGAAAACAACUAAUGAAAGAAAACUUUAAUCAUGCAUCCAACACCAUAGAGUUACCAAGAUAGAUGAUCAAUAAGUGUGUAAAGUGGAAGCUAUAGCUCAAAGGCACACGGCUUCAAAGUAAACAUACUCAAAUCUUGAAGGAAGAACAUGCUUCAACUCUAAUUCUCACAUCUAGCACUCAAUCACUCAGAACCUAUGGUUUUAUUCUCUCAAACAAGCAUAAGUGAGUAUAUGAAAUAGAAGCACAAUAUUUGGUUAGAUCUCAUGAAGGGAAUCAAAUACUAAGAGUAGAGAUACACACAUACAUACCAGCACCCAUGAAUACAUCCUCAAAGAUCAGCUAGGUCUUUCACAAGGUUGUAAUGAAAGGCUAAGGUUAAGGGAAGUGGAAGAAUUGAAAGGAACACAACUAACUUAAGAACAUACCAAGGUUGCAUUCUUCAUUGAUCUGCAAGGUAUCAUUGAUUUAGAAUGGUAUGGCUGCAACUUCAUAGCAUCAUCUGGCAUAGACUUUAUAUUUCACAUUUAGAUCAAAUCGAAACACUUUCUCUUUAUCUUUCUUUUUCUUUUUUUUUGACUUGAUCUACUUCUUCUUUAACUUUAUUGCAUAGAUUCACACCAAUUUACAUUUGGGCAUGUGGCAGCAACCUCCUUGCUUCAAACUUUAUCUUCGCACACCUUGGUAUAUUUCUAAGCUAUAGGGUAUGGCUAUAAUUGGUUAAAUAUCUCUGAUUGAGAUACAAAGUUAGGGGAAUUAUGAGGGUGAUAGAAGAAAAAGGCUUGUAGUGUUUGGCUGCAAGAGAGCUGAUGGAACACACGAAUGGGUAGGGUGAAAAGAAAGCACAGAAAAUGGUUAUACACGCAGAGCCUAGCAUCACUUCAAUGAGUUCAUUCAUGGGUGAGAGCACGCACCUGAUAUCUGCAAAGAGAAUCAUCCUUAGUAUUCAAUCAAAAUGGGAACAAUGAGAUCAUUUAGAGUGAAUUGAAGAAAAUAAGGUAGAGAUGAGGAAUAGAAACACUUUAC
RNAcentral lists this long non-coding RNA (5237 nucleotides) under Prunus persica (peach). Its description in RNAcentral is "long non-coding RNA (PPER_LNC002384)". Lineage: Eukaryota; Viridiplantae; Streptophyta; Magnoliopsida; Rosales; Rosaceae. The record is from RNAcentral.